Molecule: ribosomal RNA, 967 nt
Filed under: unidentified
Description: bacterial SSU rRNA
Rfam family: Bacterial small subunit ribosomal RNA
Source: RNAcentral
ACAGAUUUACUUCGGUAAUGACGUUGGGAAAGCGAGCGGCGGAUGGGUGAGUAACACGUGGGGAACCUGCCCCUAAGUCUGGGAUACCAUUUGGAAACAGGUGCUAAUACCGGAUAAUAAAGCAGAUCGCAUGAUCAGCUUUUGAAAGGCGGCGUAAGCUGUCGCUAAGGGAUGGCCCCGCGGUGCAUUAGCUAGUUGGUAAGGUAACGGCUUACCAAGGCGACGAUGCAUAGCCGAGUUGAGAGACUGAUCGGCCACAUUGGGACUGAGACACGGCCCAAACUCCUACGGGAGGCAGCAGUAGGGAAUCUUCCACAAUGGACGCAAGUCUGAUGGAGCAACGCCGCGUGAGUGAAGAAGGUUUUCGGAUCGUAAAGCUCUGUUGUUGGUGAAGAAGGAUAGAGGUAGUAACUGGCCUUUAUUUGACGGUAAUCAACCAGAAAGUCACGGCUAACUACGUGCCAGCAGCCGCGGUAAUACGUAGGUGGCAAGCGUUGUCCGGAUUUAUUGGGCGUAAAGCGAGCGCAGGCGGAAAAAUAAGUCUAAUGUGAAAGCCCUCGGCUUAACCGAGGAACUGCAUCGGAAACUGUUUUUCUUGAGUGCAGAAGAGGAGAGUGGAACUCCAUGUGUAGCGGUGGAAUGCGUAGAUAUAUGGAAGAACACCAGUGGCGAAGGCGGCUCUCUGGUCUGCAACUGACGCUGAGGCUCGAAAGCAUGGGUAGCGAACAGGAUUAGAUACCCUGGUAGUCCAUGCCGUAAACGAUGAGUGCUAAGUGUUGGGAGGUUUCCGCCUCUCAGUGCUGCAGCUAACGCAUUAAGCACUCCGCCUGGGGAGUACGACCGCAAGGUUGAAACUCAAAGGAAUUGACGGGGGCCCGCACAAGCGGUGGAGCAUGUGGUUUAAUUCGAAGCAACGCGAAGAACCUUACCAGGUCUUGACAUCUAGUGCAAUCUGUAGAGAUACGGA